GGGGGAUACGGGGAUGGCUUAGGGUUAGGGUUUCCCCCAAAUCCCCUUCGAUGGGAUGGGUGACGAAGAUGAGGACGAUGACGAUGACGACGAUGAUGAAGGCUCCCCCUCUCCCCGCAGGCCAUGGCGGCGCUGCCCCCCCCCAGCCUGGCCGAGCUGCUGGACGCGGCCAUCGGCACGCCCGAGGUGGGGGCCGUCAACUUCACAGCCCUGCACAGCCUGCUGCGAGCCCUGCUGCAGCACCUGGGGCUGCUGCACCUCCCCGUGCCCACCCCACAACCCACCCCACAACCCACCCCACAAGCCGCCCCCCCCGGCGGGCAGCCCCCCCAGCCCACCCCGGGACCCCCGGGGGGCUCCGCAGCCCCCGCCGUGGGGCCGGAGAGGAGCGAAGCGAGGGAUGGCGACGCCACCCAGGCCCCGUCUGUGCCCCGGGACCUCCUGGAGGCCCUCAGCGGGGUGAAGGCGGCGCAGUCCCGUAUGGCCAAGGACAUCUGUGGGAUCAAGGAGCUGCUGGGCCUGGUGGGCGAGCAGCAGCGGGGACCCCGCAGCGGGGCGAGCCCGGAGAGCGACGGGGAGGCUGCCGGGAGCCAGGCUGCAGCCUCCGAGUCCUCCGAGUCCCCCGAGACCCCCGAGUCGGGCGAGGAGGACACCGAGCACGGGGGGACCCCCAAAAGGACGCAGCCAGCGCCCGGCACCGGCAUGGGGACAGCGGGGACACGGCCCCGCAGCCUGGGGACACGGAGAGCAUCAGUGGCCCUCGGGAGGCGGGCAGCAGCUGCCCCCAAUCGCACGGGGACGGCUGGUGCCGGUGCCACCGCCCCGGGGACGCAGCCGGGGGGCCCUGGCACCCAGACCCCCACCCUGGGGGCAGAGCCUGGGUCCCCCGGCACCCAAACCUCUGCCCUGGGGGCACAGCCCGGGUCCCCCGGCACCCACGGCACCACCCCGGGGACACAGUGGGGGUCCCCUGGUGCCCACGGCACCACCCCAGAGAUGCAGCCAGGGUCCCCCAGCACCC
Molecule: long non-coding RNA, 1021 nt
Filed under: Cairina moschata (Muscovy duck)
Lineage: Eukaryota; Metazoa; Chordata; Aves; Anseriformes; Anatidae
Description: domestica (muscovy Duck (domestic type)) lncRNA (ENSCMMG00000015718.1)
Source: RNAcentral